GCUCUGCUGGACCAUAACUUUCGUCCCUGAGUGUCAGUUAUGGGAGCGAAUGGGAUUAGGUACCCCAGUUACCACCACCAGCAUUGGAACCACGUUCUUCACGGGGUUUUGCUUUGUUGACUUUGAGGUCGCGACCCAUCCACUCAGCACCGUCAAGAGCCUCAAUGGCUGCGGCUUCCUCGGCUUCUGUAGACAUUUCUACAAAAGCGAAACCCCGCAUCCGACCUGUUUCCCGGUCAGCAGGCAACUGAACGCGCUUUACUGUUCCGUACUCUCCAAAAGUUUGGUUGAG
Molecule: ribosomal RNA, 292 nt
Filed under: uncultured cyanobacterium
Lineage: Bacteria; Bacillati; Cyanobacteriota
Description: partial 16S ribosomal RNA
Source: RNAcentral